Molecule: ribosomal RNA, 400 nt
Filed under: uncultured bacterium
Lineage: Bacteria
Description: bacterial SSU rRNA
Rfam family: Bacterial small subunit ribosomal RNA
Source: RNAcentral
UGGGGAAUCUUGCGCAAUGGGGGCAACCCUGACGCAGCCAUACCGCGUGAGUGAUGAAGGUCUUCGGAUUGUAAAGCUCUUUCGGCGGGGACGACGAUGACGGUACCCGCAAAAGAAGUCACGGCUAACUUCGUGCCAGCAGCCGCGGUAAUACGAAGGUGGCGAAUGUUGCUCGGAUUCACUGGGCGUAAAGCGUCGGUAGGUGGCUUGCUAAGUCAGAGGUGAAAGCCCCGCGCUCAACGUGGGAACGGCCUUUGAAACUGGCGAGCUUGAAGGCAAGAGAGGAUGGCGGAAUAUCUGGUGUAGAGGUAAAAUUCAUAGAUAUCAGAUGGAACACCCAAGGCGAAGGCAGCUAUCUGGCUUGAUCUUGACACUGAGCGACGAAAGCGUGGGGAGCAAA